CUAAGUUUGAGGAUACCUUCCUUUUUAAAAUUUUUUUUGAACCUUAUUUGGUGAGCCCAAGGGGCCCACCCUUGUUUUGUCCCCCCUGCCGUGUCCCUCCUUUCUUCUUUCUUCUUUUUCUUUUUUCUUCUUUUCCUUCUUUUCUUUUGUUGUCUGCACCUUUUUCCUUUCUUUUCGAAAACUCUCUCAUUCCUCUUCUUCUUCUUCUACCCGUGACAACCACACACACACACACACACCCACAGCUACACCUACUCGAGGAAAUCAUCACCAUCAUCGCCAUUGAACUGCUUUUCUCUCUCUCUUUCUCUCUCCCCUGCUCGCGGUGCCGGAGUACGCCGAGCAUCUCCGGCGAGUUUCAUCGUUUUCCGGUUGGGUUUUGGAGUGUUUUGGCACGGGUGAGUGCACACCCAAAUUUCCGGCGAGCACCGUCCCUUUCGAGGCGAUUUACGGCCAAACCACGGCGAGUUGGCCGGCGUGCGAGUUUCCGGCGACCUCAGUGACUUUCGAGGUGUUUUCCAGCCAAACCACGGCGAGUUAGACGUCGUGUGAGGUACCAUUCUCUUCCUCUCUUCGAGAGCUACGAUUUUCAUUUUUGAAUCACUUGAUGUCGUCGAGUAUUAACAAAGUUAUGGACGUUCAAAGUUUGUCUAAAUUCCGGCCUUCUUCUCCGGCGUGAAACCCAGCCCAAGAAAACACCCAGGCCUUCAGGCCGUUUCCUUUCCCCACGGGCCUUAGGCCCGUUUGGUCUCUGGCCCAAAACCCUAAACCUUUUCCUUUUUAUUUUUAGUUUAUUUCUUUUAAAAACCCAAAAGGCCUUAGGGCCUUGGUUGCAGCCCAAACCCAUAUCCCCUUUUUAAUUAGGCCUUGGGCCAUGAGGUUUCAAACCCAAACCCACUUUCCUUCUAACCCAAAUCCAACCCACCUAAAACCUAAACCCAAUUACCCUAACCCAAAACCCUAAAGCCCAAACCCGUGAC
Pyrus x bretschneideri (Chinese white pear) is the source of this 980-nucleotide long non-coding RNA. RefSeq lists it as uncharacterized. The transcript is spliced from 3 exons. NCBI's taxonomy places the organism in Eukaryota, Viridiplantae, Streptophyta, Magnoliopsida, Rosales, Rosaceae. The record is from RefSeq and is a predicted model, not a curated record.